CGGGAGGCAGCAGUGAGGAAUAUUGGUCAAUGGCCGGAAGGCUGAACCAGCCAAGUCGCGUGAGGGAAUAAGGCCCUACGGGUCGUAAACCUCUUUUGUCAGGGAGCAAGGCCGCCCACGUGUGGACGGAAGGAGAGUACCUGGAGAAAAAGCAUCGGCUAACUCCGUGCCAGCAGCCGCGGUAAUACGGAGGAUGCGAGCGUUAUCCGGAUUUAUUGGGUUUAAAGGGUGCGUAGGCGGCCUGCCAAGUCAGCGGUAAAAUUGCGGGGCUCAACCCCGUACAGCCGUUGAAACUGCCGGGCUCGAGUGGGCGAGAAGUAUGCGGAAUGCGUGGUGUAGCGGUGAAAUGCAUAGAUAUCACGCAGAACCCCGAUUGCGAAGGCAGCAUACCGGCGCCCUACUGACGCUGAGGCACGAAAGUGCGGGGAUCAAACAGGAUUAGAUACCCUGGUAGUCCGCACAGUAAACGAUGAAUGCUAGCUGUCCGGGGGGAUUGACCCCUGG
Molecule: ribosomal RNA, 504 nt
Filed under: uncultured bacterium
Lineage: Bacteria
Description: bacterial SSU rRNA
Rfam family: Bacterial small subunit ribosomal RNA
Source: RNAcentral